This 212-nucleotide long non-coding RNA is filed under the name Elaeis guineensis (African oil palm). Its description in RNAcentral is "long non-coding RNA (EGUI_LNC028035)". Lineage: Eukaryota; Viridiplantae; Streptophyta; Magnoliopsida; Arecales; Arecaceae. The record is from RNAcentral.
CUACUGCUACUUCUUUUGGCAAAAAAGCUUAAUUUCUUGCAUUUGGGUCCAUAUUCUGUAUAUUUGUUUCUUGUCAAGUAAGUUCAUGUAGAAUCCUUUUCUUUUCUUCCCCCGGUUUUUCGGAUUAUGAGGCCCAUGGACAAUUCCUUAGAUGAUUUCAAUCAUAACUAUUUGAUAAAUAGCAUUAUACAUAGAUGAUUUCACCAUGAGCG